RNAcentral lists this ribosomal RNA (471 nucleotides) under uncultured organism. RNAcentral describes it as "partial 16S ribosomal RNA". It matches the Rfam family "Bacterial small subunit ribosomal RNA", at positions 333 to 796 of the family's 1533-position model. The record is from RNAcentral.
ACACUCCUGCGGGAGACAGCAGUGGGGAAUAUUGCACAAUGGGCGCAAGCCUGAUGCAGCCAUGCCGCGUGUAUGAAGAAGGCCUUCGGGUUGUAAAGUACUUUCAGCGGGGAGGAAGGCGAUAAGGUUAAUAACCUUGUUGAUUGACGUUACCCGCAGAAGAAGCACCGGCUAACUCCGUGCCAGCAGCCGCGGUAAUACGGAGGGUGCAAGCGUUAAUCGGAAUUACUGGGCGUAAAGCGCACGCAGGCGGUCUGUCAAGUCGGAUGUGAAAUCCCCGGGCUCAACCUGGGAACUGCAUUCGAAACUGGCAGGCUAGAGUCUUGUAGAGGGGGGUAGAAUUCCAGGUGUAGCGGUGAAAUGCGUAGAGAUCUGGAGGAAUACCGGUGGCGAAGGCGGCCCCCUGGACAAAGACUGACGCUCAGGUGCGAAAGCGUGGGGAGCAAACAGGAUUAGAAACCCCGGUAGUCC